UGCGGCGUGCUUAACACAUGCAAGUCGAACGGAAAGGCCCUGCUUUUGUGGGGUGCUCGAGUGGCGAACGGGUGAGUAACACGUGAGUAACCUGCCCUUGACUUUGGGAUAACUUCAGGAAACUGGGGCUAAUACCGGAUAGGAGCUCCUGCUGCAUGGUGGGGGUUGGAAAGUUUCGACGGUUGGGGAUGGACUCGCGGCUUAUCAGCUUGUUGGUGGGGUAGUGGCUUACCAAGGCUUUGACGGGUAGCCGGCCUGAGAGGGUGACCGGCCACAUUGGGACUGAGAUACGGCCCAGACUCCUACGGGAGGCAGCAGUGGGGAAUAUUGCACAAUGGGCGGAAGCCUGAUGCAGCAACGCCGCGUGCGGGAUGACGGCCUUCGGGUUGUAAACCGCUUUCGCCUGUGACGAAGCGUGAGUGACGGUAAUGGGUAAAGAAGCACCGGCUAACUACGUGCCAGCAGCCGCGGUGAUACGUAGGGUGCGAGCGUUGUCCGGAUUUAUUGGGCGUAAAGGGCUCGUAGGUGGUUGAUCGCGUCGGAAGUGUAAUCUUGGGGCUUAACCCUGAGCGUGCUUUCGAUACGGGUUGACUUGAGGAAGGUAGGGGAGAAUGGAAUUCCUGGUGGAGCGGUGGAAUGCGCAGGUAUCAGGAGGAACACCAGUGGCGAAGGCGGUUCUCUGGGCCUUUCCUGACGCUGAGGAGCGAAAGCGUGGGGAGCGAACAGGCUUAGAUACCCUGGUAGUCCACGCUGUAAACGGUGGGUACUAGGUGUGGGGUCCAUUCCACGGGUUCCGUGCCGUAGCUAACGCUUUAAGUACCCCGCCUGGGGAGUACGGCCGCAGGGCUAAAACUCAAAGGAAUUGACGGGGCCCCGCACAAGCGGCGGAGCAUGCGGAUUAAUUCGAUGCAACGCGUAGAACCUUACCUGGGUUUGACAUGGAUCGGGAGUGCUCAGAGAUGGGUGUGCCUCUUUUGGGGUCGGUUCACAGGUGGUGCAUGGCUGUCGUCAGCUCGUGUCGUGAGAUGUUGGGUUAAGUCCCGCAACGAGCGCAACCCUUGUUCACUGUUGCCAGCACGUUAUGGUGGGGACUCAGUGGAGACCGCCGGGGUCAACUCGGAGGAAGGUGGGGAUGACGUCAAGUCAUCAUGCCCCUUAUGUCCAGGGCUUCACGCAUGCUACAAUGGCUGGUACAGAGAGUGGCGAGCCUGUGAGGGUGAGCGAAUCUCGGAAAGCCGGUCUCAGUUCGGAUUGGGGUCUGCAACUCGACCUCAUGAAGUCGGAGUCGCUAGUAAUCGCAGAUCAGCAACGCUGCGGUGAAUACGUUCCCGGGGCUUGUACACACCGCCCGUCAAGUCAUGAAAGUUGGUAACACCCGAAGCCGGUGGCCUAACCGUUGUGGGGGAGCCGUCGAAGGUGGGACUGGUGAUUA
RNAcentral lists this ribosomal RNA (1432 nucleotides) under uncultured organism. RNAcentral's name for it is "partial small subunit ribosomal RNA". It matches the Rfam family "Bacterial small subunit ribosomal RNA". The record is from RNAcentral.